RNAcentral lists this ribosomal RNA (496 nucleotides) under uncultured bacterium. RNAcentral describes it as "partial 16S ribosomal RNA". It matches the Rfam family "Bacterial small subunit ribosomal RNA", at positions 28 to 507 of the family's 1533-position model. The record is from RNAcentral.
GAUGAACGCUGGCGGCGUGCCUAAUACAUGCAAGUCGAGCGACAGAUGAGGAGCUUGCUCCUCUGACGUUAGCGGCGGACGGGUGAGUAACACGUGGAUAACCUACCUAUAAGACUGGGAUAACUUCGGGAAACCGGAGCUAAUACCGGAUAAUAUAUUGAACCGCACGGUUCAAUAGUGAAAGACGGUUUUGCUGUCACUUAUAGAUGGAUCCGCGCCGCAUUAGCUAGUUGGUAAGGUAACGGCUUACCAAGGCAACGAUGCGUAGCCGACCUGAGAGGGUGAUCGGCCACACUGGAACUGAGACACGGUCCAGACUCCUACGGGAGGCAGCAGUAGGGAAUCUUCCGCAAUGGGCGAAAGCCUGACGGAGCAACGCCGCGUGAGUGAUGAAGGUCUUCGGAUCGUAAAACUCUGUUAUUAGGGAAGAACAAAUGUGUAAGUAACUAUGCACGUCUUGACGGUACCUAAUCAGAAAGCCACGGCUAACUACGUG